AGUUCGGAUUGCAGGCUGCAACCCGCCUGUAUGAAGUUGGAAUCGCUAGUAAUCGCGGAUCAGCAUGCCGCGGUGAAUACGUUCCCGGGCCUUGUACACACCGCCCGUCACACCAUGAGAGUCGGGAACACCCGAAGUCCGUAGCCUAACCGCAAGGAGGGCGCGGCCGAAGGUGGGUUCGAUAAUUGGGGUGAAGUCGUAACAAGGUACC
RNAcentral lists this ribosomal RNA (211 nucleotides) under uncultured bacterium. Its description in RNAcentral is "partial 16S ribosomal RNA". It matches the Rfam family "Bacterial small subunit ribosomal RNA", at positions 1290 to 1500 of the family's 1533-position model. The record is from RNAcentral.